UGGGGAAUCUUGCACAAUGGGGGAAACCCUGAUGCAGCGACGCCGCGUGAGCGAUGAAGGUUUUCGAAUCGUAAAGCUCUGUCCUAUGGGAAGAUAAUGACGGUACCAUGGGAGGAAGCCCCGGCUAACUACGUGCCAGCAGCGGCCGUAAUACGUAGGGGGCGAGCGUUGUCCGGAAUUACUGGGCGUAAAGGGUUCGCAGGCGGCAUGGCAAGUCCGAUGUAAAAGGCGAAGUCUCAACCUUCGUAGGCAUCGGAAACUGUCAAGCUUGAGAGAAGGGGAGGAAAGUGGAAUUCCUAGUGUAGCGAUGGAAUGCGUAGAAAUUAGGAGGAAAACCGGUGGCAAAGGCGACUUGCUGGACUUAAACUGACGCUGAGGAACGAAAGCGUGGGUAGCAAACAGG
RNAcentral lists this ribosomal RNA (403 nucleotides) under Fusobacteriota bacterium. RNAcentral's name for it is "Fusobacteria bacterium partial 16S ribosomal RNA". It matches the Rfam family "Bacterial small subunit ribosomal RNA", at positions 355 to 776 of the family's 1533-position model. Lineage: Bacteria; Fusobacteriati; Fusobacteriota. The record is from RNAcentral.